GGAGUCGGCCAGGCGAGUCGCGGGUGUCCUGCCUCACGGUGGGAUGCGCGAGGAAAGUCCGGGCUCCACAGGACAAGGCGCCAGGUAACCCCUGGGGGGCGUGAGCCCACGGAAAGUGCAGCAGAGAGUAGACCGCCUGCGUGUCCCUCGGGACGCGUCGGUAAGGGUGAAAGGGUGCGGUAAGAGCGCACCGCACGCGUGGUAACACGGCGUGGCUAGGUAAACCCCGCCUGGAGCAAGGCCAAAUAGGAAUCCCAUGGUGUGGUCCGCACCGGAUUCGGGUAGGCCGCUAAAGGCCUGCGGUGACGCAGGCCGUAGAUGAAUGACCGCCCCCGUGGUCCUCGCGGAUCACGGUGACAGAACCCGGCUUAUCGGCCGACUCCAUGU
RNAcentral lists this RNase P RNA (387 nucleotides) under Gammaproteobacteria bacterium. Its description in RNAcentral is "RNase P RNA component class A". It matches the Rfam family "Bacterial RNase P class A". From Rfam's summary of the family: Ribonuclease P (RNase P) is a ubiquitous endoribonuclease, found in archaea, bacteria and eukarya as well as chloroplasts and mitochondria. The record is from RNAcentral. Lineage: Bacteria; Pseudomonadati; Pseudomonadota; Gammaproteobacteria.